Molecule: ribosomal RNA, 415 nt
Filed under: uncultured bacterium
Lineage: Bacteria
Description: bacterial SSU rRNA
Rfam family: Bacterial small subunit ribosomal RNA
Source: RNAcentral
AGCGAACGUUAGCGGCGGGCCUAACACAUGCAAGUCGAACGGGCAGUAGCAAUACUGUCAGUGGCGCACGGGUGCGUAACGCGUAGAUAAUCUACCUUCCAGCGGGGGAUAACUGAGGGAAACCUUAGCUAAUACCCCAUAAGACCACGGGGCCUUCGGGUUCUGCGGGAAAAGGCGGCCUCUGCAUAUGCUGUCACUGGGAGAUGAGUCUGCGUCCCAUCAGCUAGUUGGUGAGGUAAUGGCUCACCAAGGCGAAGACGGGUAGCUGGUCUGAGAGGAUGAUCAGCCACACUGGCACUGGAACACGGGCCAGACUCCUACGGGAGGCAGCAGUGGGGAAUAUUUGGGACAAUGGGCGUCAAAGCCUGAUCAGCCAUGCCGCGUGAGUGAUGAAGGCCCUAGGGUUGUAAAGCGU